UACAUCGAGAGAGAGAGAGAGAGAGAGAGAGAGAGAGAGAGAGAGAGAGAGAGAGAGAGAGAGAGAGAGAGAAAGAAAGAAAGAAAGAAAAAAAGAAAGAAAGAAAGAAAGAAAGAAAACCGACCUUCGUACUCGUCCAACUUUUGCCCCGUCCUUCGCCUCUCUCUCUCUCUCUCUCUCUCUCUCUCUUUCUUUUUAUCUCGUUUAUACGUAUAGGUCUCGCGCGCGUGCGUUCUUUCCCCCCUUUCCCUUCUCUAGCACCUUACCAUACGAUCACCACCACUACCACCCAGAAUUACCAUCUUCUGCUUAACUUCUUUACUCUCUCCUUCCUCUUCGUCUUACUUCUCUCUCACUCUCUCUCUCCCUCCCCCCACUCUUCUCACUAACCCUCUUCCCCUCCUACCUCGUCCUUUUCCUCCUCGAUCGUGUCCACGCUUCCGGCUGACAGUGCGGUUUUUGAGUUCGUGCGAUUAGGGGUAUAUUCCUUCUUUCUCUCUCGUGAGUUUCUCAGUGAACAUCGCAAGCAUUCAUCGGGCAUUCCAAAUACGGUAGGAAGUCUUGAACGGACGUGUGCGGUCUCUCUACGGAAAAGAUUCACCUCUCGUACUUACACGCGUUUAUAUCCUUUCGAAAGGCUGUCCACGCUAACCGUUUUCGUCGAUCUUUUGCUCCGCCAUGCUCUUGCCAUGCCCUCAAUGCUUUCGAAGAUCGAUCGAGGUUUCACGCGAGUGAUAUUCAUUAUACUGGGAAGCCAUUCGUAGACAUCUUUGGACGCAUGGACAAGAAAGCCAUCGGAGAUAGAUGGUAAUACACGAACGUGUCUCCUACUUGGUGCAUCAGGAAAUAACUGGCGGUCAACAGUGGUGGAAGGUUUCGGAGCAGACGCGAGAUGGAGAAAGCAGAAAAGAUAUGAGGGGAAAAAAAAGAAUGAAAAGAAAUAAAUUGCCACGAUGUAUCAUGCGAUUCAAAGGAAGAAAAAAAAAGAAGAAAAAUUGAGAACUUAAGGCAAAGAAAAUACAGAUGAGUACGCAGGUGAAUGGACGAGGACGAGUUGAUCGAACGAAAUGUAAGGGCGAAGCGACGGCGCAAGCGGGUCCCAGUGAAUGUCCUUGGAUAAAAGGUGUCAUCGUACGGAGUAUCUGUUCACAUCUUACCGGGCAGCAUUGGAUUGAAGUUGAACCUUCUAAUACUGUCAGGUAAAGAUGUCGUCAGGAUUCCGAAAUCAACAUGCCAACAUGGCGACAACCUAGACUACGACGACAACGACAACGACAAGGAUCAUAAUAAGAAUCGACCAAGUAAACGUUCUAAGAGCGUUGCCCAUAGCGAUUUUAUACACACGUUGAGACACACGACGGAUAAUAUUACGUCUGGCUACACGGGUUCAUGCUUCUUAAAACUUCUUAAGUAGCCGAGAAUAACUUUCACAUAUAUACACAUAUACAUAGAUAGAUAGAUAGAUUGCACGUAUGGUAAAUGGUAAUACGAUAAUUAUUAUCCAUACGAUACAUGUACAUAUAUAGAUAUAUAUACAACGAAGUUGUAUUUCAUAGGGUCUUAAUGGAUGAAUUUAUUAGUCGCACGAGACGAUCGAUUUAGGGGUUGUUAUUGACAAAAAAAAAAAAAAACAAAAAAUGGGUCACAACUUUCAACCUUAGAACGGUCUAUAACUAAAUUAUUUUUUGACUCUUGCUUAGUAGCUACACGUGCUGUUUUCUCGUUCUUGUCUCUGAUAUAAAACAUCAAAAAUUGAGUUCUAUAAACACAAUUCGUAGAGUUAAGUGUAUUUUAGUAUUUUAGAAUAAAAUAUCAUUGUUCAAUAUCACAGAAAUACUAAUCGAAAUUUCGUCAAUUAUGUUUAUUUCUUUUUUUUUUAUUUAUUCUUUUUGUUCAAUAGGAUACAAUUAAUAAAUCGUCUAGAUAAAAAACUAUUUAUCCAUUAUUAAAUGCAUAUAAGUUAGGAUUAUUAUAUUUAUCAAUAUACUUUUUCCGAUUGAAUUUUAUCAUCAACGAGCAAGACACGACUCGAUGAAAAGACUAUAGAAUAAAAAUAUAAAAAUGUAAGUCCAUAGUGGAGAAAGAUGCAUUCGUGUAGAUUCGAGAUUUCCUUUCUUUUUUUUCUCUGUUAAGAAGAACCUGUACUAAGCUCUCCGAUAAAUGCGAUCGCAUCGCCGUCUUCGAAAAUGUCGCGACAUCGAAAGGUGCAUCGUAAUGAGCUCCUCACGCCUGUCGUGUUACUCGUGUGCGUGUGUUAUAUAUAUUAUAUAUAUAUAUAUAUAUAUAUAUAUGAAUGAAUGUAUGUAUGUACAUGUAACAUAUUUUCUGCUCUCCCGCGACAACAUAAUCCCCAUCUAGAGUCGAACGUGUGUGAUGAUUCUCUCUUAUUCUACUCUUCUCAUUCAUCAUUUACAGUUUAUUUAUAAGUAAAAUUCUCUUUCUAUCUUUCUCUUGGUUCGGGUAUAGCAUAGUACCGGUUUUCUGUAAAUAUUUUCACUCUGUUUCUAUGCCAGUCUUAAAAAACGAUCGAGUCUUUGGAAUUUCGUGAACCGACAACAGCGCGAUACGUAUUUUCGGUUGAUCGUGGUGGCUCGCGUGAUUCUUGCGGUGGCGGGGUCAAGAGAGAGAGAGAGAGAAAGAGAGGGUGGGAGGGAGAAUGGGAGAACAUGGAGGGCAAAGCGGGGUCGGGGAGAAUCAGCUUCAAGAGAGGAAAAGAACGAGGACGAUAAAUAAGGUGGUCGCUGUCUGCAGGCGCGCCAAGCGCUGCGUGCGCGCAUUCGUACAUAUGUGUGUGUAUGUGUAUUCGUGUAGAUGUUUGCAUACAUGUAACAUAUGUACGCUACUAUAUGCACACGUAUAUAUGUAUAAAUGUAUUACAUAUGUAAGAUACUAGGUACGUACAGCUUGCUCACAUGCUGAGGAAAGGAGAAAGAGAGAAAGAUACUCUCUCUUGUGCAAGUCGAACGACCGCGCACGCAGAAACGGCAGGAGGGUUCCUACUACGAUCCUGUAUCGUGUCGGUAGGAGGUAGAAACGCGGCAAAAGCUCUCCACAGUCGUGUAGUCGUAUGCUUCGGAGUUGCUCGGAGCGGCGAACGAGUAGGCGCGUCAGGAAUGUAACGCCUCAAAAACGAUGCCACGAUCGUCGUAAAGCAUUGCGUGGGUCCGCCUCGCGACGUGGAAAUGAAUACGCCAGUGUAGAAUUAAGAAUGAUCGAAAAAUAGAUUCGAUGUGAAAGGAAUUUCGGUUGUACGUAGCAAUAUGUAUUAUAUAUUUAUCUACCGGUUUUACAAAUAGGGUUAUGUUAUUAAAACAGCAGAAUGAUAUAUACGGCAAUUAAGUGAUGCUCAUAUGAUAAAAGAGUUAUAAAGGUUGAAAUAUUCAAAACGAUUUUUUAUGAAGUUCUCACUUAUCUAACAUGUUUAUGCAAUAUAUAAUAUGUUUUCAGGUCUUUGCUGCGAUGUCUUUUUGUUACUCUUUCUCAAAGAAUAAAUAUUUUCGUAAUAAAUAUUAAUUAUUAAUCCAUAA
This is a long non-coding RNA of Vespa velutina, 3527 nucleotides long. RefSeq lists it as uncharacterized. The record is from RefSeq and is a predicted model, not a curated record. Lineage: Eukaryota; Metazoa; Arthropoda; Insecta; Hymenoptera; Vespidae. The transcript is spliced from 5 exons.